GUUAACUCUUGCGAGGACAUGAAAUUUUGAUGAUGUAAGGGCGCCAUCUAUUGUCCAAAAUCUAGAUGGUGGUCUGUGAAUUGGCCACACCUGAUCAACUAAUGACGUACAGAGAAUCUGGCCCUUUAAAAAGCAAAGACAAAGGGAAGAGAGAGUCAGAUUCAGAUUCGGAGAUUCAGAUUCAAAUUCGGACAUUUAGAGAGAUCUAGGACAGAUAUUCAGGACACUCUGGAACUAACACUCAACUCUCACACUCUUUGACUCAACUCAAGAAGCACCUCCUGAAAACUUAGAAUUUUACUAUAACUUUCCAAACCAAUAUCACAUUCUCUAUCACAUGCACACCUCCUUACAAGCAUUAACCACA
Pelobates cultripes (western spadefoot toad) is the source of this 367-nucleotide non-coding RNA. NCBI's taxonomy places the organism in Eukaryota, Metazoa, Chordata, Amphibia, Anura, Pelobatidae. The record is from the annotation of a GenBank genome assembly.